AUCGCUUCUCGGCCUUUUGGCUAAGAUCAAAGUGUAGUAUCUGUUCUUAUCAGCUUAAUAUCUGAUACGUCUCCUAAUGGAGACAUCGAUAUUAAACUGAUUUUUAGAAUGGGAUGAGGUGCCACGGAGCUUGCUCCGCCCUCAUCACGGGUUGACCUGGUAUUGCAGUACCUCCGGGAACGGCCCACCACUC
This 193-nucleotide small nuclear RNA is filed under the name Haliotis rubra (blacklip abalone). Its description in RNAcentral is "U2 spliceosomal RNA". It matches the Rfam family "U2 spliceosomal RNA". Rfam says of the family: U2 is a small nuclear RNA (snRNA) component of the spliceosome (involved in pre-mRNA splicing). Complementary binding between U2 snRNA (in an area lying towards the 5' end but 3' to hairpin I) and the branchpoint sequence (BPS) of the intron results the bulging out of an unpaired adenosine, on the BPS, which initiates a nucleophilic attack at the intronic 5' splice site, thus starting the first of two transesterification reactions that mediate splicing. Lineage: Eukaryota; Metazoa; Mollusca; Gastropoda; Lepetellida; Haliotidae. The record is from RNAcentral.